UUACAGCCAUAUCAGGCUGAAACACUGGUUCACAUACAAUCACUGAAGUUAAGCAACAUCAAGCCUGGUCAGUUUCUAGAUGGGUGACCAUUUGAGAAUACCAGGUGUUGUUA
Molecule: non-coding RNA, 113 nt
Organism: Acanthosepion pharaonis
Lineage: Eukaryota; Metazoa; Mollusca; Cephalopoda; Sepiida; Sepiidae
Source: the annotation of a GenBank genome assembly